AUGCGUGCUAAAAAAGAUUGCUUCAUAAAAGCGUGUUCUUCUAGUUUUCGUGAUAAUAAAGAUGAAGAUCUAAAAGUUAUUGAUGUAUCUCCUAUUAAAUCUUUGUUUUGCAAUAUGAAUCUUGAUAAUGAUGGGGCUGAAGAUGAGCCAGCUUUACCUAGAAGGCGUUCCAAAAAUUCGGAGUCUUUAGAUCUUGAUGCUAAAAUUUUUAAAAGUGGGAUUGAAGAGGUCAAAACUUUAAAUAGUAAUGAACCCACUAUUUUGGAUUUCAAGGAAUUUAAUUAUGAUAAUUGCUCUUUGAUAGAUUGUAUUUCCUUGUUGCAAUCCGUGCUAAAUUCUCCUCAUGCUUAUAGCCAAAAUAAAGCUUUUACUAAACGUAUCGUUGAUGCUUUGAUGCAAUCUUAUGAAGAAAAACUUGAGUUGGAAGUUUCUAUCCCUAGAAAACUUUAUGAUGAGUGGGAACCUACAAUAAAAAUUAAAAUUAGAGAUCACGAGAGCUAUGCUUUGUGUGAUUUGGGUGCUAGUGUUUCCAUGAUUCCAAAAACUUUGUGUGAUUUGCUAGGUUUCCAUGAUUUUGAUGAUUGUUCUUUAAACUUGCACCUUGUGGAUUCCACUAUUAAGAAACCUAUGGGAAGAAUUAAUGAUGUUCUUAUUGUUGCAAAUAGGAACUAUGUGCCCAUAGAUUUCAUUGUUCUUGAUAUAGAUUGCAAUCCUUCAUGUCCUAUUAUUGUUGGUAGACCUUUCCUUAGAACGAUUGGUGCAAUUAUUGAUAUGAAGGAAGGGAAUAUUAGAUUCCAAUUUCCGUUAAGGAAAGGCAUGGAACACUUCCCUAGAAAGAAAAUUAAAUUACCAUAUGAAUAUAUUAUGAGAGACACUUAUGGAUUACCUACCAAAGGUGGCAAUACCUAG
This 909-nucleotide ribosomal RNA is filed under the name Triticum aestivum (bread wheat). RNAcentral describes it as "partial small subunit ribosomal RNA". The record is from RNAcentral. Lineage: Eukaryota; Viridiplantae; Streptophyta; Magnoliopsida; Poales; Poaceae.